GCCCGGGUGGCGGAAUAGGUAGACGCAAGGGACUUAAAAUCCCUCGGUCCUAAGGGCUGUGCCGGUUCGAUUCCGGCCCCGGGCACCA
RNAcentral lists this transfer RNA (88 nucleotides) under Olavius algarvensis Delta 1 endosymbiont. Its description in RNAcentral is "tRNA-Leu-TAA". It matches the Rfam family "tRNA". From Rfam's summary of the family: Transfer RNA (tRNA) molecules are approximately 80 nucleotides in length. Lineage: Bacteria; Deltaproteobacteria. RNAcentral also lists the same sequence under 1 other name. The record is from RNAcentral.